GAUGAACGCUGGCGGCGUGCCUAAUACAUGCAAGUCGAGCGAACAGACGAGGAGCUUGCUCCUCUGACGUUAGCGGCGGACGGGUGAGUAACACGUGGAUAACCUACCUAUAAGACUGGGAUAACUUCGGGAAACCGGAGCUAAUACCGGAUAAUAUAUUGAACCGCAUGGUUCAAUAGUGAAAGACGGUUUUGCUGUCACUUAUAGAUGGAUCCGCGCCGCAUUAGCUAGUUGGUAAGGUAACGGCUUACCAAGGCAACGAUGCGUAGCCGACCUGAGAGGGUGAUAGCCACAAGUGAACCUGAGACAGGGCCCAGCGUCCACCGGGAGGAGACAGAAGGAAUUCUCCCGAAAGGGGGAAAGCCUGACAGGCGCACCGCCGGGGGAGGAAUGAAGGUUUUGUGAUGAAAAACCUUUUUAAUGGGAAAAAAAAAAAUGGUAAAGUACCAAGCCACGUCUGGAGGUACCCUAACAAAAAGCCCAGGGCAAACUCGGGC
This 497-nucleotide ribosomal RNA is filed under the name uncultured bacterium. RNAcentral's name for it is "partial 16S ribosomal RNA". It matches the Rfam family "Bacterial small subunit ribosomal RNA", at positions 28 to 508 of the family's 1533-position model. The record is from RNAcentral.